RNAcentral lists this unclassified non-coding RNA (391 nucleotides) under soil metagenome. RNAcentral's name for it is "partial contains 5.8S ribosomal RNA, internal transcribed spacer 2, and large subunit ribosomal RNA". The stretch from base 1 to 122 matches the Rfam family "5.8S ribosomal RNA", at positions 35 to 154 of the family's 154-position model. The record is from RNAcentral.
GAUGAAGAACGUAGCGAAAUGCGAUACUUGGUGUGAAUUGCAGAAUCCCGUGAACCAUCGAGUCUUUGAACGCAAGUUGCGCCCGAAGCCAUUAGGCCGAGGGCACGCCUGCCUGGGCGUCACACGUCGUUGCCCCCCCAUCUACUCCUUCGGGAUUGCGGGGGGCGGAUGAUGGCCUCCCGUGCGCCUCGUCGCGCGGUUGGCAUAAAUGCCAAGUCCUCGGCGACACACGCCGCGACAAUCGGUGGUUGCGAAACCUCGGUUGCCCGUCGUGUGCGGUCGUCGCGCAUCGAGGGCUCGAAAAAAUUGCCGGGCUCCGGCUCGGCUUUCAACGCGACCCCAGGUCAGGCGGGGUUACCCGCUGAAUUUAAGCAUAUCAAUAAGCGGAGGA